This 495-nucleotide ribosomal RNA is filed under the name uncultured bacterium. RNAcentral describes it as "partial 16S ribosomal RNA". It matches the Rfam family "Bacterial small subunit ribosomal RNA", at positions 30 to 507 of the family's 1533-position model. The record is from RNAcentral.
UGAACGCUGGCGGCGUGCCUAAUACAUGCAAGUCGAGCGACCGGACGAGAAGCUUGCUUCUCUGAUGUUAGCGGCGGACGGGUGAGUAACACGUGGAUAACCUACCUAUAAGACUGGGAUAACUUCGGGAAACCGGAGCUAAUACCGGAUAAUAUUUUGAACCGCAUGGUUCAAAAGUGAAAGACGGUCUUGCUGUCACUUAUAGAUGGAUCCGCGCUGCAUUAGCUAGUUGGUAAGGUAACGGCUUACCAAGGCAACGAUGCAUAGCCGACCUGAGAGGGUGAUCGGCCACACUGGAACUGAGACACGGUCCAGACUCCUACGGGAGGCAGCAGUAGGGAAUCUUCCGCAAUGGGCGAAAGCCUGACGGAGCAACGCCGCGUGAGUGAUGAAGGUCUUCGGAUCGUAAACCUCUGUUAUUAGGGAAGAACAUAUGUGUAAGUAACUGUGCACAUCUUGACGGUACCUAAUCAGAAAGCCACGGCUAACUACGUG